Molecule: unclassified non-coding RNA, 400 nt
Filed under: uncultured fungus
Lineage: Eukaryota; Fungi
Description: sequence contains ITS1
Source: RNAcentral
GGGACUACAGGGGUAUCUAAUCCUGUUUGCUCCCCACGCUUUCGCGCCUCAGCGUCAGAGUGGCCCCAGCCGGCCGCCUUCGCCACCGGUAUUCCUCCUGAUAUCUACGAAUUUCACCUCUACACCAGGAAUUCUGCCGGCCCCUGACCCUCUCUAGAUUAGCAGUUUCGAAAGACCCUCCGGGGUUGAGCCCCGGGCUUUCACCUCCGACUUACUAUUCCGCCUGCGCGCCCUUUACGCCCAGUAAUUCCGAACAACGCUCGCACCCUAUGUAUUACCGCGGCUGCUGGCACAUAGUUAGCCGGUGCUUAUUCUUGGGGUACCGUCAUCAUCUUCCCCCAUAAAAGAGCUUUACGACCCAAGGGCCUUCUUCACUCACGCGACAUUGCUGCAUCAGAGU